GGACCAACCAACAUAUGGCGAGCUUGCCAGGAGUGAGUGACCACUGCGUCUGGAUGAUCUUCAUCCCACUGUGCAGCGCAUCAAAUUAUAAGGAAAGCUCAGGAGAGGGUACUAGGUGAGGACCCCGACUACCUGCCUGUGGAGUUUGGAGACUGGGUCAAAAUCCGGAUCCACAAGAGAAAAUGGAACCAGCCAAGAAGGAUGGGGCCAUUUGAGGUAACCAUGGCAACACCAAAGGCGGUCAGAGUUCAGGAAAGAUCCGGCUGGCACCACCUGUCCCACUGCCAGAAGGUGUACCGCCCACAGGAGAUUAUGGAGCCAGACACAGCCUGAAACAAGAGACAGAAGCAGAUGCGCUAUCGACAACGGUCAGUGAAAAAAAGUUGUGAUGGACUACUUUCUGGAGGACGAUCAUGCCAUGCUGACUCUCUCGGACUCUGAAAACUGAAUCAGACGAUGAGGAAAUCCCCGAUUUAGCAUCAGUAGAACAUGCCUGACUCUACCCCACCAGUCAUACAAGGAGAAUGUUCUAAUGCCUCCCAUCAAAAAGAGAGCUGGCCCAAGCAAGCACAGGUUACACCUGAAGCAUGAGGACUUGCAGCAAGUGGUGAACUUCAACAACUACGCAGAGGAUAAUGCAAUAGUAUUACCAGGACACCACCCAGGACACAAACUCUUUGGUGGAAAGCUGCUGCCAUCCCAUGUGACAAAAGCAGCAGUGUGGCGUCUCUACAAGGAAUCUGUCUCAGGGGGCCCCUACUGAACCAGCAAACAGUCUGGACCUUCACUUCCAAGAUCAAAGGCCACACCAAGUUUGCCCCCGACUGGUGCUUCGGCCUCAUCAAGCAGCGCUUCAGAAAGACCAGAGUGAACACUGUCUGAGAUUGCUGGUGUUGUGAAGUACAGCACUGUGAUAGGGGUCAACAUCCCACAGCUGGUUGGACUGGAGGAUGAUACGGUGCUGGUGGAAAGCUAUGGCCGGCAACAACACUUGACUUCGUACUUCAGGCCGCUGCCACAGAUCAAGCAGUACCAGCACUUCAGAUGGUCUGCCUGUACAAGCACCACCUGGACUGGACACAGCUAGACAAACUUACAGUUUUGAGAAUAUUAUAUGGACAUCACAUGCCCUGCACCAAAGUCAGGACAGAAACAUGCGUGGUUCAGAUGGACCAGUCAUUAGCACUAUCUGCAGUGCCUCUAUUCAAAUGACUCUCUCCUAACAUAUGUUGCUGCUACAAUUUUUUCUAUCCUGCUGCUCAGCCUCUUUACCCCUGAUUGUAUGCAUAUAACUACCUCGUCUAUCACUAUCUAUUGAUAUUGUUCUUGUACAUACUGUAUAUUAUUUUAUUUAUAUUGACACUAUUUCUGAUAUUGCUACGAUGCAACUAACCAUUUGGCUGUACUGUUUACACCUUCUGUAGAGACCCAUCCACUUAGCAAAAUAUUGAUAUAUAAAAUGAAUAUUGAUAUGUGUGGUCGUAACAUGAUUUUGUGACAUACCACAACAAUAUCAUGUAACUGUAUCAAGUGUCCACCACAUAUGGCGCAUGCAUCUUUAUGUACAUGUGCACCUCACUCAGGUUUCAACUCAGGUUGCAUGGCCUUACCAUGUGAUAAGUGCGUGUGUAACAGUAUAUAAAGUAUGCUAAUGUACUGGCGUGAAGGCAUUUGGGCAAUGGUGUAAAGUACUUUAGUACUUUAAAAUAUUUUAAAGUACUUUAGUACUUUAAAAUAUUUUGGGGGGUUAUCUGUACAUUACUUUACCAUUUAUAUUUUUGCCUACUUUUACUUCAUUAGAUUCUGAAAUAAAAUCAUGUAAAUUUUCCCUGACACCCAAAAGUACAUUUUGACAGGAAAAUUGUCCAAUUCACACACUUAUCAAGAGAACAUCCCUGGUCAUCCAUACUGCAUCUGAUCUGGCAGACUCAAUAAACAAAUGCUUUGUUUGUAAAUUAUGGCUAUCCAUCAAUAUAAAUAAAAAUGGUGCAGUCUGGUUUAAUAAGGAAUUUUAAAUGAUUUAUAUUUUUACUAAAGUAUGACUAUUUAGUACUUUUUCCACCACUGGAUGUGGCUGGGGGUUAUAGCAUUUUUCACAUGACCCAUCAAUUUAGACGAGUGUGUCUGGGUGAGCGUCAUCUAAUAUUUAUAAAAUAUUUUAUCUGGACACUUUCUGUUUACCUGGAAUUGUUCUUUAUUGUAGGCUACUACCACUUUUAAUCUUUACUACACUACUCACUGUUUAGCACAUGACCUCACAUGUGAAUCCUUAAAGAGAUGGGUGGAGCUAGCUUAAGAGGGUGUGAACAAUGCUGAAUGGGUGUAGACAAAGCAGAGCUCUCCAGUAGGUACUAAAACAUUCAAGGCCCUUUUCUCAAAAGUCAAUUUACAAGUUCAACAACUUUCAAAGCAGAAUUACUUUACAAGUUUUACUAAAAAAUGCAGUGUAUGAUAUCAUUUUGUAGCUCUCAGUACCUACUUUUAUCCGAUGUAAAAAAAACAUUUCAAAUUCUGCUACAUAUUAUUUGAUUCAGUGAUUGAAAUUAAGACCCCAUUCUCAGUAGCCUAUU
This 2570-nucleotide long non-coding RNA is filed under the name Salmo salar (Atlantic salmon). RNAcentral describes it as "lncRNA (ENSSSAG00000093472.1)". Lineage: Eukaryota; Metazoa; Chordata; Actinopteri; Salmoniformes; Salmonidae. The record is from RNAcentral.